Oncorhynchus tshawytscha (Chinook salmon) is the source of this 554-nucleotide long non-coding RNA. NCBI's taxonomy places the organism in Eukaryota, Metazoa, Chordata, Actinopteri, Salmoniformes, Salmonidae. The record is from Ensembl.
UGUUUACUCUGAGGUCCUUUACUCUGAGGCUGUUUACUCUGAGGUCCUUUACUCUGAGGCUGUUUACUCUGAGGUCCUUUACUCUGAUGUCCUUUAAUCUGAGGCUGUUUACUCUGAGGCUGUUUACACUAAGGUCCUUUACUCUAAGGCUGUUUACUCUGAGGUCCUUUACUCUGAGGCUGUUUACUCUAAGGCUGUUUACUCUGAGGUCCUUUACUGUGAGGCUGUUUACUCUGAGGUCCUUUACUCUAAGGCUGUUUACUCUGAGGUCUUUUACUCUAAGGCUGUUUACUCUGAGGUCCUUUACUCUGAGGUCCUUUACUCUAAGGCUGUUGACUCUGAGGUCCUUUACUCUAAGGCUGUUUACUCUGAGGUCCUUUACUCUGAGGUCCUUUACUCUGAGGCUGUUUACUCUGAGGCUGUUUACUCUGAGGUCCUUUACUCUGAGGCUGUUUACUCUAAGGUCCUUUCUCUUAUUCUCAGAGAGAUGUCUCUGCAGCCCUAUCCUUUCUGUUCUCAUUCUUCUCCUUCUCCCCUCCCUCCCCUUUCUCCAG